This 256-nucleotide ribosomal RNA is filed under the name uncultured bacterium. Its description in RNAcentral is "partial 16S ribosomal RNA". It matches the Rfam family "Bacterial small subunit ribosomal RNA", at positions 521 to 776 of the family's 1533-position model. The record is from RNAcentral.
UAAUACGAAGGGGGCUAGCGUUGUUCGGAAUCACUGGGCGUAAAGCGCACGUAGGCGGAUCUUUAAGUCAGAGGUGAAAUCCCAAGGCUCAACCUUGGAACUGCCUUUGAUACUGGGGAUCUUGAGUCCGGGAGAGGUGAGUGGAACUGCGAGUGUAGAGGUGAAAUUCGUAGAUAUUCGCAAGAACACCAGUGGCGAAGGCGGCUCACUGGCCCGGAACUGACGCUGAGGUGCGAAAGCGUGGGGAGCAAACAGG